RNAcentral lists this ribosomal RNA (1461 nucleotides) under uncultured Bordetella sp. Its description in RNAcentral is "partial 16S-23S ribosomal RNA intergenic spacer". It matches the Rfam family "Bacterial small subunit ribosomal RNA". Lineage: Bacteria; Pseudomonadati; Pseudomonadota; Betaproteobacteria; Burkholderiales; Alcaligenaceae. The record is from RNAcentral.
AGUCUCGAUCAUACUAGAUUGAACGCUGCGGGAUGCUUUACACAUGCAAGUCGAACGGCAGCACGGACUUCGGUCUGGUGGCGAGUGGCGCAGUGAGUAAUGUAUCGGAACGUGCCUAUAGUGGGGAUAACUACGCGAAAGCGUAGCUAAUACUGCACACUGCUCCUUCGGGGGAAAGCAACUUUCGGGCCUCGCACUAUUAGAAUGGCCGAUAUCGGAUUAGCUAGUUGGUGGGGUAACGGCUCACCAAGGCGAUUUAUCCGCAGCUGGUUUGAGAGGACGACCAGCCACACUGGACUGAGACACGGCCCAGACUCCUACGGGAGGCGCAGUGGGGAAUUUUGGACAAUGGGGAAACCCUGAUCCAGCCAUCCCGCGUGUGCGAUGAAGGCCUUCGCUGUAAAGCACUUUUGGCAGGAAGAAACGGCACGGGAUAAUACCCCGUGCAACUGACGGUACCUGCAGAAUAAGCACCGGCUAACUACAGCCAGCAGCCGCGGCACGGCAGUAAGCGUUAAUCGGAAUUACUGGGCGCAAAAGCGUGCGCAGGCGGUUCGGAAAGAAAGAUGUGAAAUCCCAGAGCUUAACUUUGGAACUGCAUUUAACUACUGAGCUAGAGUGUGUCAGAGGGAGGUGGAAUUCCGCGUGUAGCAGUGAAAUGCGUAGAUAUGCGGAGGAACACCGAUGGCGAAGGCAGCCUCCUGGGAUAACACUGACGCUCAUGCACGAAAGCGUGGGGAGCAAACAGGAUUAGAUACACCCGGUAGUCCACGCCUCAAACGAUCAAUCCGUUGGGGCCUUCGGGCCUUGGCAGAAGGCAGCUAACGCGUGAAGUUGACCGCCUGGGAGUACGGUCGCAAGAUUAAAACUCAAAGGAAUUGACGGGGACCCGCACAAGCGGUGGAUGAUGUGGAUUGAAUUGAUGCAACGCGAAAACCUUACCUACCCUUGACAUGUCUGGAAUCCCGAAGAGAUUUGGGAGUGCUCGCAAGAGAACCGAACACAGGAAGCAUGGCUGUCGCCGGCUCGUGUCGUGAGAUGUUGGGUUAAGUCUCACAACGAGCGCAACCUUGUCAUUAGUUGCUACGAAAGGGCACUCAUCGUGAGACUGCCGGUGACAAACCGAGGAAGGUGGGGAUGACGUUUGUCCUCAUGGCCCUUAUGGGUAGGGCUUCACACGUCAUACAAUGGUCGGGACAGAGGGUCGCCAACCCGCGAGGGGGAGCCGCCUUCAAUCCCAGAACCCGAUCGUAGUCCGGAUCGCAGUCUGCAACCUGACUGCGUGAAGUCGGAAUCGCUAGUAAUCGCGGAUCAGCAUGUCGCGGUGAAUACGUUCCCGGGUCUUGUACACACCGCCCGUCACACCAUGGGAGUGGGUUUUACCAGAAGUAGUUAGCCUAACCGUAAGGAGGGCGAUUACCACGGAUUCAUGACUGGGGUGAAGUCGUAACACCGCUGCAG